This 946-nucleotide long non-coding RNA is filed under the name Homo sapiens (human). Its description in RNAcentral is "non-protein coding lnc-HTR4-1:7". Lineage: Eukaryota; Metazoa; Chordata; Mammalia; Primates; Hominidae. The record is from RNAcentral.
AAACCCGUGUCCAUAUUGUGUGUGUGAAGAAGCAUCGAAGCGCGGCAGCCAUGUUCAGCGUGGCAUUUCGGAAGGCUUGUCAGGGGUGGAGAAGCGGGGCGGGUUGCUGUUCUUUCACCUGACACUAAAGCGCCAUGCCGGAAGCACUGAGUCUGAUACGUCGGAACCAGUCUCCACCGUGUGGUUUGGUCUUGAUUUCCACUGGUACUCUGGGGUCUUGGAUAAGUCUCUGGACCUCGCCUUUGUCAUUUGCGAAGUCGAUAGGUUCCAAUAGAGAUUUUCCCAGAAUCAUUCAACUAAAAAUAGAGAACUUUUUUUUUUUGAGAGGAAGGACGGGGGCGCAGUUAAAGAUGUUAAUGUUAAGUCAUCCCUUCUGUGAUUUCGGGACAUUAUCUUUGCAGGCCAUGUGAAGAUGUGCUUGCUUCCUUGUCACCUUCCGCCAUGAUUGUAAGUUUCCUGAGGCCUCCCAGGAAGCAGAAGCCUGUACAGCCCACAGAACCAUGACCUGAUGAAAUCUCUUUUCUUUAUAAAUUACCCAGUCUCAGAGGGGUGGAGCCAAGAUGGCCGAAUAGGAACAGCUCCAGUCUACAUCUACCAGCAUGAGUGACACAGAAGAUGGGUGAUUUCUGCAUUUCCAACUGAGGUACUGGGUUCGUCUCACUGGGGAGUGCUGGACAGUGGGUGCAGGACAGUGGGUGCAGCGCACCGUGCGUGAGCCGAAGCAGGGCGAGGCAUCACCUCACCCAGGAAGUGCAAGGGGUCAGGGAAUUCCCUUUCCUAGUCAAAGAAAGGGGUGACAGAUGGCACCUGGAAAAUCGGGUCACUCCCACCCUAAUACUACGCUUUUCCAUCGGGCUUAGCAAACAGCACAACAGGAGAUUAUAUCCUGCACAUGGCUCGGAGGGUCCUACGCCCAUGGAGAAACUCUAUAAGCCAGAAGAGAGUG